RNAcentral lists this signal recognition particle RNA (85 nucleotides) under Facklamia miroungae. RNAcentral's name for it is "signal recognition particle sRNA small type". It matches the Rfam family "Bacterial small signal recognition particle RNA". From Rfam's summary of the family: The signal recognition particle (SRP) is a universally conserved ribonucleoprotein involved in the co-translational targeting of proteins to membranes. Archaeal SRP consists of a 7S RNA and homologues of the eukaryotic SRP19 and SRP54 proteins. The record is from RNAcentral. Lineage: Bacteria; Bacillati; Bacillota; Bacilli; Lactobacillales; Aerococcaceae.
AAUAUAAGGCAAUGAUGGAUUCACGAACCGAGUCAGGACCGGAAGGUAGCAGCUAUAAGUGAUGAAGUCAUGUGCCUAUUUUUUU